RNAcentral lists this ribosomal RNA (253 nucleotides) under uncultured bacterium. RNAcentral's name for it is "partial 16S ribosomal RNA". It matches the Rfam family "Bacterial small subunit ribosomal RNA", at positions 524 to 776 of the family's 1533-position model. The record is from RNAcentral.
UACGAGGGGGGCAAGCGUUAAUCGGAAUUACUGGGCGUAAAGCGCGCGUAGACGGUUUUGUAAGUCAGAUGUGAAAUCCCUGGGCUCAACCUGGGAACUGCAUUUGAUACUGCAUGGCUAGAGUAUGGAAGAGGGAAGUGGAAUUUCCGGUGUAGCGGUGAAAUGCGUAGAUAUCGGAAGGAACACCAGUGGCGAAAGCGACUUCCUGGUCCAAUACUGACGUUCAUGUGCGAAAGCGUGGGGAGCAAACAGG